This 792-nucleotide long non-coding RNA is filed under the name Sus scrofa (pig). RNAcentral's name for it is "lncRNA (ENSSSCG00070003238.1)". Lineage: Eukaryota; Metazoa; Chordata; Mammalia; Artiodactyla; Suidae. The record is from RNAcentral.
AUGCCGGCCGAUGACGCAACUAAUAAUAAUGGCAUGGCUUUGGAGCGCCCCACUCCAGUGACAAACAAUCGGGGUGAAGAAGAAGAAGAUUGCAUAGGAUGCUGCUUCCGGAUCCAAAGGAACAAUCGACAGACGUCACAAAGAUCCACCUCUGGCUGCAUCAGAAAGUUAUGCUCCUGGCGCCACCAGCGAGUGCACCCCGCUAAUGGGUCGGGGACAGAAGAAACCCCGGGCUCCCAUGAAAGGCUGCCCAGCACCGCAGGAGGAAUAGAGGCUCCAAGUGGCUGCACAAUGCCGGCCGAUGACGCAACUAAUAAUAAUGGCAUGGCUUUGGAGCGCCCCACUCCAGUGACAAACAAUCGGGUGAAGAAGAAGAAGGUGGGUCUUCCUUGCGGGCAUUGGGUGGAGAGCAGCCAGAUCCUGGGUUCCUUUUGGAAAGGGGGUAGUCUGGGAUGUGGAGCAGGCAGCUCUUUCCCAGUCAUAGUGAUGCCCUGUGGCACCUGCCCUGGACACAAGUCUCUUGUGUGAUUCCUUGGGUUGUGACACAUUCCGAGGACAGGGAGUGAGGUCCAUGUGUGAGCACAUGUGGUGUAAGUAUCUGUUCCUCAUGAGCUCUCUCCUAUUUAUACAGAAAAUACACCGCUCAACGUUCCUUAAGAAACAUCCCAUCACCUCUUGCGUACCACCCCUAUAGGCAUGCAUUCGCCCCUCACCACUGCUGUCCCCACGUUGGCUUAAUUUCCCGUGCUUCAGGUGGAGAUGGUGCAGAGAGAGUUGGCCCAAGCUCUUGAC